Molecule: long non-coding RNA, 2613 nt
Organism: Passer domesticus (house sparrow)
Lineage: Eukaryota; Metazoa; Chordata; Aves; Passeriformes; Passeridae
Exons: 3
Source: RefSeq, a predicted model, not a curated record
UGAUGUUUGAAACACAGAUAUGGGGCAGCCUGGCAAACUGGGACAUCACACUGCUGCAAACACACCAAGGCAAGCUAUACAAGUGCUCACAAUGGUGGAAACAACCACUGGGUGUCUGGAAAUGAACCCUGUACCUCACACCAAGGCCCAAAACACCAUCCUGGGCCUUGAGAUGCAACUUCUGCAGCAACAUGGCACCCUAGAAAGAACUGAGUUGGACUAAUGGGACUCAUUUCAAAAGGAGCCCCACAGACACAUGAGCCAGAGAGCAGAGAAUUGAUGUCAGCUACUUUGAACAAUAGAACUCUUUUGAAAACACCAGCCAGCAGAAAAUUCUUGUGGCGCAUGCUUCACUUUAGUGAAAUGAUUGGUUUUGUUUACUUUGGGUUGGAUCUGUGAUUCUCCUAUUCAAGUUCCAGAAUUGAAGAUGGAAAAAGACAAUCACACAGUCUUGCAGAGUGCCAACGUCCUUCAUGUGUUGAAAAGGAGGAGGAAAGUUGUCAUGACCUCCAGCAAGGGACCCAAGGUCUUUCUGGCAUUUAUGAUUAUGGAAAGAAACUGCCGAACAUGAAUCACCCGUUAGAAAGCUCCCUCCACAAUUCAGAUAUUUUCUUGGGAUAUUUCUGGCCUGGAAAAAUUUUGUUGCCUGUGCUUGUUGUGAAGACCGAUUUCAGCUGCUUGGGAAGAGACAACAAGAACCCUAGAGGACAGAUCAGCUUGGCCUUCAUUUGCCUCCAGAACAAACAGGUUUAUUUUUGCUAUUUAGAGACUUACUUGUCAGGCAGUGCUUUAAGAGACAGGAGGAACAAUUUAACCUUGAAAUACAAAAACAUUGCUUCACAUGUUUCUUCUGGACAUCUUAUGGAAAAUCAGAAGGAAGUACCCAGCAAAAUGGAAUCCACUACAAAAAGGAGAGACAGAGGAAAGAAGAGAAGAGAAGAGAAAAAAAGAGGAAUGAACUGGCUUCUUUGAAUAAAUUGCUAAUCUGUAAGCAGUGUUUAUCAGCUGAAGAAAAACAACUCUGUGUGCUAGACUUGUUCAUAAGGCAAGACCAUUAUCAAUUGUGUCUUCAUUAACUGAAGCUUCUUAGACACACUAGUAGCAAGGCAGACAAAAUAAAAUGGGCCAAGUAGUCUCAGUCUGUGGAGUCAGCCACAAGCUGGAGUCGCUCUAACCACUGGAAAUCACCCAGUGAAAGUGAGCCAGAAGUGCCAACAGCAGCCAGGGCCUGUACAUGUGUACAGAGGAUUGGAACUAGGGAUCAGGGAGGUGCAAGGCAGCACUGAGCAGUGUGAUAUGAUACAGGGUGUUUAUUGCUACAAGCUGAGCAGCACUAGCUGCUAGCACUAGCACAGUAAAAGGAAAGUUUAAAGUUUAAGCGGGGAGGGGUUAAUUAGGAUAAUAGGGAUGCUUAAUAAUAAUUCCAGAGCCUCUUCUUGUGCUCCAAGGACCACAAUACUUAUUAAAAAGUUGCAAAGAGGAAUUGGUGCAGUUUGUGUCAUGGUUUGUAAAGUUGAUUACUGCUUGUGAGCAUUCCUAGUGUACUGAGAGCAAACCUGCAUGGCCAAAGUACUUCCUGCCUGAAUGCUCCUGUCCUUCCAAUCCACUCUUCCUAAUGGAGAGUGCAAAUAACAGCAACAAAAAUAUCUGUAAAAAGUAUCUUGUAUAUCAAAAUAUCUGUAAAAAGUAUCUCGUAUAUCACUCUCAAGUGUGAAUGGGAGCUUAUACUUCCUGGGAAAAUACUAGACUGUACAGAUGACAGAGUAACUUUGUCAAAAAAAUUUCUUCAUCUCUGCUUCUGCUUUUCAUGCUGUCUUCUACAACAUUUAAAAAUAUUUUAUGAGCUUAGGGGGAUGAAAACAUUGAAUAAGGCCAAGGGUAUGAGCACUUCAGUAUAUUUCAGUGGAGAAAGUACAAGCUGUAGACAUGCCUGGUGAAUGCACUGGAGUUCUUUGUGUUCACUCCAAAUUGGCUCUUAGAAAUGAAACACCAAUAAUCUUAUUUGGAAGAUAAAGGUGCGUACCACAGAGGAAAAAACAGUAACUAUCUUGCAAGGCGAAUAGAAAUUUUUAAAACAGGUGUCUGUUCCAUGUUUAACUUCUUUUAUUCUUUCCCCUGCACAUUUCAAUUUUCAUUAAUGAAAUAAUAAAAUAGAAAGAUAGAAGCAAAAUAACAAAAUAGUACUGCUUGUGACAUUAAUAUUUUUUAUUUGUAGCAUGCACCAGAUUCUAAGAUUUUGCUUCUGUGUUUGGUAUCUUCUUGGCAGCCUGUUUUUAAUUGAGUCUAGGAUAUUUUAACACAGCCCUGGUUUACUAUCUUUGCUGUCCUCUGAGUCAGCUCGAUGUGUGUCUCAAUACUGCUUAGGUUUUGCGUACUGUGGAUGUCAUCCUGAUAUCCCAUGUGUUUAUGUGCACUGCAGGGUCAAUCAGUUCUCCGUGUACUGCACAUAUUUCUUCUGUUAAAGCAAACUAUUUCCAUAUGUCCGCAACAAAACCCUCCUCAUUAAAAUACUGGAGAAGGUCUGCAUUGCUUCCUUCUCUAGAAGAAGUUUCCUUCUCUAGAAGAGAGCAUUGAAUUGCCGUCUAUGUAUCCAGGUUUUCAACAUGCAUGCUA